RNAcentral lists this ribosomal RNA (440 nucleotides) under uncultured bacterium. Its description in RNAcentral is "partial 16S ribosomal RNA". It matches the Rfam family "Bacterial small subunit ribosomal RNA", at positions 338 to 795 of the family's 1533-position model. The record is from RNAcentral.
CCUACGGGUGGCUGCAGUCGAGAAUCAUUCACAAUUGGGGAAACCCUUAUGCAGCGACGCCGCGUGUGGGAAGACGGUCCUCUGUAUUGUAACCCACUGUCCCCAGGGACGACGAUGACGGUACCUUGGGAUGAAGCUCCGUCUAACUCCGUGCCAGCAGCCGCGGUAAUACGUAGGGAGCGAGCGUUGUCCGGAUUUACUGGGUGUAAAGGGAGCGUAGGCGGGACUGCAAGUUGGGUGUCAAAUCUACCGGCUCAACCGGUAGCCGCACUCAAAACUGCAGUUCUUGAGUGAAGUAGAGGCAGGCGGAAUUCCUAGUGUAGCGGUGAAAUGCGUAGAUAUUAGGAGGAACACCAGUGGCGAAGGCGGCCUGCUGGGCUUUUACUGACGCUGAGGCACGAAGGCCAGGGGAGCGAAAGGGAUUAGAUACCCGGGUAGUC